Molecule: transfer RNA, 92 nt
Filed under: Perca fluviatilis (European perch)
Lineage: Eukaryota; Metazoa; Chordata; Actinopteri; Perciformes; Percidae
Rfam family: tRNA
About the family: Transfer RNA (tRNA) molecules are approximately 80 nucleotides in length. Their secondary structure includes four short double-helical elements and three loops (D, anti-codon, and T loops). Further hydrogen bonds mediate the characteristic L-shaped molecular structure. tRNAs have two regions of fundamental functional importance: the anti-codon, which is responsible for specific mRNA codon recognition, and the 3' end, to which the tRNAs corresponding amino acid is attached (by aminoacyl-tRNA synthetases). tRNAs cope with the degeneracy of the genetic code in two manners: having more than one tRNA (with a specific anti-codon) for a particular amino acid; and 'wobble' base-pairing, i.e. permitting non-standard base-pairing at the 3rd anti-codon position.
Source: Rfam by way of RNAcentral
GGCUCUGUGGUGCAACAGACAGCAUGUUGGACUUCUAGUUACUCGGUAAAGAAGUGACUCAAAGGUUGUGGGUUCAAGUCCCACAGGAGUUG